ACAUGGUCGCAGAGGCAGGGCACUAUAUCGAUCCGGGAUUCAGGGAAGUGCGGUGAAAAUCCGUCGCUGCCCCCGCAACUGUAAGCCGGACAAGGCUCCAUGCGCCACUGUGACAACACGGGAAGGCGGAGCUGAGGAUGAUGGCGAGCCAGGAUACCUGCCCCGAGAACACACAGCGG
RNAcentral lists this non-coding RNA (179 nucleotides) under Desulfurispirillum indicum. The record is from RNAcentral. Lineage: Bacteria; Pseudomonadati; Chrysiogenota; Chrysiogenia; Chrysiogenales; Chrysiogenaceae.